GCGAUUCCCUUAGUAGCGGCGAGCGAAAAGGGAACAGCCCAGCGCAUAAUCUCCCGGGUUACCAAGCCUGCGGCGAAAUGUUGCGUUAAAGGAAAGGUCGUUAAUGCCUCGCUCACCCGUUUGAUUGUGCCUAACAGCGUCUUGAAUUAUUCGCGCUUGUCAAGCACCUUUGCAAACUCUUACGGGUUACAAAAGCUCGACACACGGUUCCAUGGAGGGUGCAAGUCCCGUCUGGCCGCGGUUGAGUGGGCGAUGGCUAGGCCUCUUUUCCUGGAGAGUCGCGUUGCUUGAACUUGCAGCGCUAAGCAGGAGGUAAACUCCUCCUAAGGCUAAAUAUGUCCACAGAACCGAUAGCUAACAAGUACCGCGAGGGAAAGUUGAAAAGUACUCUGGAGAGAGGGUGCAAAGACCGUGAAACCAUCCAGGGCAAAAGCCAAUGUCGAGUAUCCUAGUUGCGCUGGGACCGUCCUUCGGGAUGAUACUACGCUCGAGUGUCGACGAGAGUCCAUUCUAUUCACUUAGAAUACUCGAGACGCACUCGUCAUGUGCGUAGUUUGAGUGUCCAUUAACAGCCCGCCGCAACUCUUACGAGGUCUCUCGCGGUUGUCGCGUGGCGGGAAGCUCGCGUUCACUAACGGAGUGCGUUGUCACGGGGUCGUGUUCGGCGGAGUCCAUGCCAGUAGCCGCUUCGGCGGCGAAGACAUGCCCGCUGACGCGCGGUACAAACGAACCCCUAUGGCGUACGCCGGAGCGUAGAGAACCGUCACACACUGGCAGUCAAUGCGUGAAUGAUCCUUCUGGUGAGAAGUUGAUUCGGACAAGUCCACGCUUGCGUGGCAACGGCGGUAUCAUGCCUAGGUGACAUUGGUCACGUCUCGAAACACGGGCCAAGGAGCAUAGCGUAAAGGCAAGUCGCAGGGUUUCACUAAACCCGGUGGCGAGUGAAAGCGAGUGACGUACCAUUAGUUUGGGCCGUAGACCCGUGCGUGAGGAUUCCAAGUCUUUUCUUGAGUUUUGAGCGCGCAGGUCGCUUUGUACACAGCUGAUCCUUAAGCUUUUACGAGCGACAAGGCGCAGGCUGCAAGCUUACUCAUAGUCGCAAUACGCGCACCUCGUGUGUACGUGGCGUGACAGAGGAAGCAUUGUCUAGACUUUCCGCUAUGACCCGAAAGAUAGUGAACUAUGCUUGACGAAGACGAAGCCCUAGGAAACUAUGGUGGAAGUCUGUAGCCGUUGUGACGUGCAAAUCCAUGGCGUCAGUUGAGUAUAGGGGCGAAAGACCAAUCGAACUAUCUAGUAGCUGGUUCCAUUCGAAGUUUCUCUCAGGAUAGCUUGAGCGACAAUGACGCUAAUAAGUCUGAUCUUAUGAGUAAAUCACACACUAAGAACGCCCACGUCUGCAGUUGUUGAGAGCACAUACAGCCGUGAGCUCGUACACUCACUCUUUCCAGGCAAUGCGGGUUGCGUGUCACACACGUUUUUCCUUACGCAGUUACGUCUGGUAAAGAGAAUGAGUAGAGUUGGCUCGUUGUUCUUGUAACAACAGCAGCGGGGCGUUCUACGCCUCGCACUAUUAUCAAACUUUAAAUGGGCGAGGAACUCGGCAUUAUCUUAAUUGCUUGAUGCCGAGGCGUACACGGUACAGUGUUGUCAAAUACUCUGUUUCGGAUGAGAAUGCGUGCGCUUUAAGUGGGUCCUUUCUGGUAAGCAGAACUGAUAAUGAGGGAUGAACCUAACGCAUGUGCUAAGGGGUCAAAAAGACAGCUAUUUCUCGAAACCAUUGGAAAGGUGUUGCUUGCUAAAGACAGCAGGACGGUGGUCAUGGAAGUUGACAUCCGCUAAGGAGUGUGUAACAACUCAUCCUGCCGAAGCGAGUAACCCUGAAAAUGGAUGACUCUAUAGCUCUCUCCCGAUGCACAGCCGUCAAUAGCACGAGUGACAUUUCGUGUCUCAACGCUUUGACGAGUAGAAUGGUGUGCUGGUGUGCGUCGAAGACCUUUGCGUGAGCAUGGUCGGAGCCGCCAGUAGUACAGAUCUUGGUGGUAGUAGCAAGUACUCUGGUGAAUAACCUUGAGCUGUGAGGCUGACAAGGGUUCCGUGUCAACAGCGUUUGAACACGGGUAAGCCGAUCCUAAGCUCCCUUUAUCUCAUAAAGGUAAUUGCGUAUGCCCGGAGAAUUACGACGCAAUUGUGCGCGCGUUUGAGCCGCGUUUUCAUGCCUGACGUAUGGUGGUGGCAGCAUGCGCCGCAUGUGUGUGAGUAUUGUCGUCGUGUCGAGCUGCGUCUCGCUAAGAACACGCGUACGCUGUGUACGUGUAGCCCAGCCUCUGUGCUCUCCAACGAACGCCCCGCUGCUGUUGAGCUGAACGUGUUAUGCACCUGGUCGAACGUGGCUCCCCCGAGGAGCUGCCGCAUACACACUAGUAAGAGCAGAGGGUUGAUGGACCGCCGAGAAAUCAAGCAGGGCACACCGCAAACUACGUAUGAGACGCACACCUCGAUCGACACACACGCUCGUAAGCACACUCUCGUGCGUUGCGGUCACAUCAAAACACCUACGACACUCGUAUGAUCUCGGUCUGGCACGCGCGUGCACGCUUUGUUACAGUAUAAUCUGGCGUCGCUUGGCGAAAGGGGAAUCUGAACUCAGUUCAUAUGCCUCUCCUGGCACCCUGAGACGGUUCACCGUAUCACGAUCCUAGCAAUAGAUGCCAGGCCAGUCGAUGUCAUAAGUAGCUCGACAGGGAGAUUUCUUCUCUCUUUGAUAAGACGGUAGUUCCUGAAAGCACCUCGCGUGGCGGAAGGACGAUGUCUUGUAUAGCAGAGUAGUCCUCUUUCUAGACUAGCUCGACGCUGCUUGUGACCCGUGAAAAGGUGGUCGAGGGGAAGGAAAUGUACGCUAGAGCACACGCUUUCGGGCGCGCGUCUCCUGCAGUACUUUCGCACUUCACACGAGUGUUUGCCAUCGGAGUGUUCGUACCCA
This 2983-nucleotide ribosomal RNA is filed under the name Cyllopus magellanicus. RNAcentral's name for it is "partial 28S ribosomal RNA". It matches the Rfam family "Eukaryotic large subunit ribosomal RNA", at positions 71 to 1850 of the family's 3401-position model. Lineage: Eukaryota; Metazoa; Arthropoda; Malacostraca; Amphipoda; Hyperiidae. The record is from RNAcentral.